UUUUUGGAGCCUUGUCGGAUAUGGGCGUAAGAGCUCUAGGCGGUUUGUCGCGUCUGCUGUGAAGCCCGGGGCUCAACCCCGGGUCUGCAGUGGGUACGGGCAGACUAGAGUGCAGUAGGGGAGACUGGAAUUCCUGGUGUAGCGGUGAAAUGCGCAGAUAUCAGGAGGAACACCGAUGGCGAAGGCAGGUCUCUGGGCUGUUACUGACGCUGAGGAGCGAAAGCAUGGGGAGCGAACAGGAUUAGAUACCCUGGUAGUCCAUGCCGUAAACGUUGGGCACUAGGUGUGGGGGACAUUCCACGUUUUCCGCGCCGUAGCUAACGCAUUAAGUGCCCCGCCUGGGGAGUACGGCCGCAAGGCUAAAACUCAAAGGAAUUGACGGGGGCCCGCACAAGCGGCGGAGCAUGCGGAUUAAUUCGAUGCAACGCGAAGAACCUUACCAAGGCUUGACAUUCACCGGACUGCCCCAGAGAUGGGGUUUCCCUUCGGGGCUGGUGGACAGGUGGUGCAUGGUUGUCGUCAGCUCGUGUCGUGAGAUGUUGGGUUAAGUCCCGCAACGAGCGCAACCCUCGUUCUAUGUUGCCAGCACGUGAUGGUGGGGACUCAUAGGAGACUGCCGGGGUCAACUCGGAGGAAGGUGGGGAUGACGUCAAAUCAUCAUGCCCCUUAUGUCUUGGGCUUCACGCAUGCUACAAUGGCCGGUACAAAGGGUUGCGAUACUGUGAGGUGGAGCUAAUCCCAAAAAGCCGGUCUCAGUUCGGAUUGAGGUCUGCAACUCGACCUCAUGAAGUCGGAGUCGCUAGUAAUCGCAGAUCAGCAACGCUGCGGUGAAUACGUUCCCGGGCCUUGUACACACCGCCCGUCAAGUCACGAAAGUUGGUAACACCCGAAGCCGGUGGCCUAACCCUUGUGGGAGGGAGCCGUCCCAGGUGGGACUGGCGAUUGGGACUAAUCUACAGGGGGGNACCCCAAAAAUUGUCGGGUCUUCUGGACGGAAGCGGUUAGCCCACAAGGAGGACUAUAGACGCGUAAAGUGGCGAUGUGGUCCUUAAGGUCAGAGGGGAUGACGUGAGAUCAGACGGGCAUGGGUGACGUCUGGGCCCCAACUCGGGGCCCGAAAGUGUCGUCUGCGCUGUUUGGCGGAUGCUCGAGAAAUGCGGGUUAUUAAGGCCUGUUGCGAACGCGGGAUGCAUAAUGGCGCCGACGACCGUGCAUCAAUCGGCCGCGAAGAAGACGUCCAUGGCAGUGAGAGCGAAGAAGGGAUGACUUUCUCCAAAUGUUGGGCUUCCGGCAGUAGGGAGUGCGCCGCAGCGACGUAGUCCGAAGGCGGGUAACACGUUAUAAGGGGUGACGACGGAGGGCAUCCUCAGACCCGGCACAGAGUCAGGGUCACACCGGCCAGUGGGAGAGUCCGGCCGAUGGGCAGCAGCGGAACCACUCGGUAAUGGGGUGGUUGUUCGACUAUCCGGCACUCGGGUAGGUUUUGGUCAUUUUGGGAAAGGUGGUGGGUGGUACGCCAUUCUCCAUCAUAGGUCAUAAUCUGGGUCAAAGGGUCCGAAUAGGGUCUCAGUUCCCGUCCAAUGAGUGCAUAAUGAGUGGGCAAGCGGUGAUUAGGUGGGUCGUUCGACCCGUAGUAGCAAGCUGAACGUACACAAUUCGUGCGGCGGUCGCAAGCAGGACUCGU
RNAcentral lists this ribosomal RNA (1684 nucleotides) under Kocuria rosea. RNAcentral's name for it is "bacterial SSU rRNA". The stretch from base 1 to 989 matches the Rfam family "Bacterial small subunit ribosomal RNA". Lineage: Bacteria; Bacillati; Actinomycetota; Actinomycetes; Micrococcales; Micrococcaceae. The record is from RNAcentral.